UUAUUUGAAAUGUAAAUUUGAUUUAGCUGGGAUUAUUGUGAGUUAAGAUCUUUAAAAUUAAAAAAUUUGGCGGUAUUUUAGUCUAUUCAGAGGAACCUGUUUUUUAAUUGAUAGUCCACGAUAAUUAUAACUUUAAUUUUUAAUUUGCAUAUCGUCGUUUAUAAAGAUUUUAGGAGAAUUUUAAUCUUUAAGAUUUUUUAUUUUGAAGAAGUUCAGAUCAAGGUGUAGUUUAUAUUGAAGGUAAAAUGGGUUACAAUGAAUUUAUUUUUGGAUUUUGAUUUGAAAAAUCGUUUGAAAAUGGAUUUGAUAGUAAAUUCUUUAUUUUUGGGAAUUGAUUUAGCUCUAAAAUAUGC
This 353-nucleotide ribosomal RNA is filed under the name Litoborus rugosus. Its description in RNAcentral is "partial 12S ribosomal RNA". The record is from RNAcentral. Lineage: Eukaryota; Metazoa; Arthropoda; Insecta; Coleoptera; Tenebrionidae.